GGGUUUAAAGGGUGCGCAGGCGGGCUUGUAAGUCAGAGGUGAAAGCCCGGAGCUUAACUCCGGAAAUGCCUUUGAUACUGCAAGUCUUGAAUCUGAUAGAGGCUCAUGGAAUAUGUGGUGUAGCGGUGAAAUGCGUAGAUAUCACAUAGAACACCAGUGGCGAAGGCGGUGAGCUGGGUCAGUAUUGACGCUCAUGCACGAAAGUGUGGGUAGCAAACAGGAUUAGAUACCCUGGUAGUCCACACCUUAAACGAUGUAUGCUUGAUGUUGGGGUAGCAAUACCUCAGUGUCGUAGGAAAUCCGAUAAGCAUACCACCUGGGAAGUACGAUCGCAAGGUUGAAACU
RNAcentral lists this ribosomal RNA (345 nucleotides) under uncultured bacterium. RNAcentral describes it as "bacterial SSU rRNA". It matches the Rfam family "Bacterial small subunit ribosomal RNA", at positions 556 to 901 of the family's 1533-position model. The record is from RNAcentral.